GCGGCCGCCCGGGUGCCCAACCGAGCGCACGUGCGCCAGCGGGGCCCGAGCAGAAGGGGAGCCCCGGAUCUCGCGAAGAAAAUGGAGAGCGACCCACGGGUUAGGGGUCAGGAAAGGCCUGGGGCGCAUUAUGCCCUGGGAGGGGAAAGCACAGAACAAGAGGCUCUGAGGGACGGAGAAAAAGGAGGGCGGCCCACGAGCUAGAGCAGCCCGACGGCCAUGGAGGCUGAAGAGACGAUGGAAUGCCUUCAGGAGUUCCCUGAACAUCAUAAAAUGAUCCUCGACCGAUUGAAUGAACAGCGAGAGCAGGACCGGUUUACUGACAUCACCCUAAUUGUCGACGGACACCAUUUUAAGGCUCACAAGGCUGUUUUGGCGGCUUGUAGUAAGUUCUUCUACAAAUUCUUUCAGGAGUUUACCCAAGAACCUUUGGUGGAGAUAGAAGGAACAAAGAAAACUCAGCUCCAUUAGAGGAAAAUACCACAGGAAAAAAUGAGGCCAAAAAAAGGAAGAUUGCAGAAACUUCAAAUGUUAUCACUGAGUCAUUGCCAUCUGCAGAAUCAGA
This 565-nucleotide small RNA is filed under the name Pongo abelii (Sumatran orangutan). Its description in RNAcentral is "processed transcript". Lineage: Eukaryota; Metazoa; Chordata; Mammalia; Primates; Hominidae. The record is from RNAcentral.